RNAcentral lists this ribosomal RNA (453 nucleotides) under uncultured Porphyromonadaceae bacterium. RNAcentral describes it as "bacterial SSU rRNA". It matches the Rfam family "Bacterial small subunit ribosomal RNA", at positions 341 to 792 of the family's 1533-position model. Lineage: Bacteria; Pseudomonadati; Bacteroidota; Bacteroidia; Bacteroidales; Porphyromonadaceae. The record is from RNAcentral.
ACGGGAGGCAGCAGUGAGGAAUAUUGGUCAAUGGGCGAGAGCCUGAACCAGCCAAGUCGCGUGAAGGAUGAAGGUUCUAUGGAUUGUAAACUUCUUUUGUCCGAGGGUAAAGGAGGCUACGUGUAGCUUUUUGCAAGUAUCGGACGAAUAAGCAUCGGCUAACUCCGUGCCAGCAGCCGCGGUAAUACGGAGGAUGCGAGCGUUAUCCGGAUUUAUUGGGUUUAAAGGGUGCGUAGGUGGUUUGUUAAGUUUGUGGUGAAAGCGUGCGGCUCAACCGUACCAAGCCAUGAAAACUGGCGAACUUGAGUGCAAACGAGGUAGGCGGAAUGUGAUGUGUAGCGGUGAAAUGCUUAGAUAUGUCACAGAACCCCGAUUGCGAAGGCAGCUUACCAGCAUGCAACUGACACUGAGGCACGAAAGCGUGGGUAUCAAACAGGAUUAGAUACCCUGGUA